RNAcentral lists this long non-coding RNA (39842 nucleotides) under Citrus sinensis (sweet orange). Its description in RNAcentral is "long non-coding RNA (CSIN_LNC001057)". The record is from RNAcentral. Lineage: Eukaryota; Viridiplantae; Streptophyta; Magnoliopsida; Sapindales; Rutaceae.
UUAAAUUAGAUUGUUUAUUCUCAUAACACAACUCACUGCUAUGUUAUUUGUCACAAACAUUAAAAUCUUCAUACGAUGAAUCCUUUAAUUGACAAUAGAUUAAGUUGAUAAUUAAAUAGUGGCCAAUUACCUAAUUAACAAACAUAAUCAUGAAAAUAAUUCAGAGAAUAAAUAAAUACCCAAAAAGCAAUAAAACAAUUAAAGCACAAGAAAGAUCUCACAGUAGUGAUGAAUCAAAGCUUCAUUAUCCUUCAACCAGAAAAAUAGAUUUAGUUCUUCAUAGAGAGAAGAGAAAAAUUAGGAUCUAGGGUUUCUUUCUUUUUCUCCAAUCCAAAUCCCCCUCUUUCAUGAUAGAUUCCUCCCUUAAAUACUCUCUCUCUCUCCUCUUUUAGAAUUCUAUUUAAAAUAAAAUACUAAUAUCUGAAAUAUUAAAUUCGUAAUUACAAAAAUAACCAAAAAUACAAAACACGUUAAACUAAAAACUGCCAGCAGGUAGUUGACAGCACGCGCCCACGCCUUAUCAACAAAGUUCUUCUGACUCUCUAAAUUUCUCCAAGAGAACAAUCAUAUUUAAACAUCAUCUUAUAGCUCAAUUUUAUCACGAAUCAAUAGAAUUGCACCUACAAAAGUAAAACACAAGUAAAUCAUUAUUAUUAAGUACAAAAUAUCGAUAUUAAGAGAAGUAAACAAUGCAAAACUAGUGCAUAAAUUACACUCUAACAAGGGUACCUUCUGGAGGGCAUAACUUGGGCUAUAGUUGGCCGUCCAUUUCAAAGCUUACAAUGAGGUCAAUCUAAUUAAGAACCCCUUGCACUAUUCUGCCCUAUGGUUUAGCAAAAAAUUCCGCUUCAUUACUGGUCAUUUUUUAAUUUUAAAAUUUUCCCUAUUUUUCCUUUUUCUUUAAUGAUUUGUAUCCUUUUUUUAGAUUUUGGAUUUGGGUGCCAUUUGUUUUGCUUUUCCUAUUUAGAUUGGGAGAACGUUAUUAUAAAAUAAUAGUUCAAAUUUGCCUAUUUUGAUAAAUUCACGAUAUUUAGGGUUAUUAUAUAUAAAGGCCCCAAAACCCUAGUUUGAUAAUUUAGACUUAUUCAAUAAAACUUCAUUAUUUAGAAACUUUUGUUUAAUCUAUCUUUCAAUCUUUAACAUUUCUGUUUCAUUAGUUGGUAUCAGAGCAAGUUUGCUUGUCAUAUGGUACGGUCACAUGAACAAAGGAGCAACUAUCUUGAAGACAAUAAUCAAGGGAUGCGGGCACAAACUGUGGAGGCUGUCAGAUAGGUAGCUAGAGAAGCAACCUUGCAAGUGACUAAGAAUGCUUAUAAUUUGAGAUCAGUGGUGAUAGAGUAGGCAAUUGAGAGUUUUAGGCCCUCAUUGAAUGAAAAUAGGGAGAGAGAGUGAGAGAGAGACAAAGAAAGAGUUCAACAACAAGGAGUUAAUCGUGAGGAAGAACUUUAAGUAGUCAAUCAUAGUGAACAACUAGAAAAUUAUAACCACAUGGAGGUAUCUUAGGGGGUCAAUCAUGAAAUAGAACCUCAAGGCAUUAAUUCUGCUUGAUGUAUGCCAGUGGGUAUGGGUGAAGAAUUAGAAAACAAUUUAAAAGAAGAAGAAUCUGUGGAGGAUUAUAACAAGUGUAAAAGGAAUUCAGACUACAAGAUUAAUGUUGAUAUUCCAAAUUUUUAUGGUGGGAUGCAUGUCGAAGAAUUUUUAGACUAGAUAUCAAUUAUGGGUAGUUUUUUUGAGUAUAUGGAGAUUCCUAAAGAUAAACGAGUUUAAGCUUGUGUGUUUAAAUUAAAAGGCGCAACUUUUGCAUGGUAUCAACAUGCGUAGAUUCGAAAAAGAGUUGCGGGAAAACAAUUUAUCAAAUCAUGGUCUAGAGUAUAGAGGAUGAUGUAAGAGUAUUUCCUGCUAGCAAAUUACUGGUAAUAGUUGUAUUUCAAAUAUCAGAACUGCAAGCGUACGAGAAAUAAUUUAGAGAAGCCAGAACUUUGAUUGGUGGAUUGAAGCAAGAGAUACAAGAUGAGGGAGUGGAUACGAUUUGGGACUUAGGUUCUGUUGAUGCGUAUUGGUAUAGGUGUCAAUAUGCAAGUGUACACAAUAAGUAAUAUAAUGAUGAGUAUUCAUAUCAUCUCCAUAAGGAUUAAUGUUAUAGGACUUGCUACAACAAUCUUAACAGUGCAAUCUAAGUCUAAUUAAAAAUAAAAUUAUUGAUGUAAUUAACAACCUAACAAAAUAAAAAAAAUGCAAUAAAUGAAAUCUUAGGUCAAAUACAAAGAUAUAAUCAAUGGGAAAUGAGUAGUAGAGUACUUAAACUCACUUAAUGAUAUUGACUUUUUUUUAAUUAUGGUAUUGUUGCUAUAGCAUCUACUACAGCACUGGGCACAAUCCCUCAAGCAUCCUCAGCUGUCGCAUGUUGGAUAUCUUAUAUUUACAUGCAACCUAAUAGUGACCAGUUGUUAUGCUAACAUUAGACAUUAGAUACAACAUUAUACGUAAUAGAUUCCAAUUGUCCUACAAGGUGAAUCCAUAUGUCUAGUUCUUCACUAAUCUUAGAUCAAACAUGGCCCCAUUCAAAUCAAGAUUAACUCAACUUGGGAAACUUAUUCUAAAACCAUGUAUUGUAUUAAUUUGUUCCACUAAGCCAAACCUUUUGAAACUUCUUCUUAGCUAGUAUCCACUAAAUGAGUGGUCAACUGAAAUAAGGAUUUGCGAUAAGUAAAAUCAAGACAAAAAUGCUACAGUAGAUUCUAAGCAACACAUAUAUAAGUCAAAUAAUCAUUGAGCUUGUUUAACACCCAACUGCAUUAAAGUUUAGUUCAUGAUAUGUGACAAAACAGUAACCAUACUCGUUUAUCAAAUAUAUUCCCACAAAGAGAUGAAAACAAGAAAAUAAAGAUGAAGAAUUGAGUUCCACUAGGUCUUUGCGAUCUCUCCUUCCUUUUCUCUCAAAUCCCUUGCUGGAGCCCUCAACUCUCUUAUAUUCUCUUUUUUAUUUUGUUUUCUCUGUUAUUUUUCUUGACUGAGGGCUCUCUCUUGUUUCUUUCCAUCUAUACUAUUUUUAUAUCUUGGAAUCAAUAGUGAAGAAGAUGAGUUGUUACUGAAAUUUACUUAACAUUUGCCUGGCGAAGCAGUGCAGUUUAUCAUUAGAGUUUGAGAAGUUGAUAAAUUUAGAUACUGAGAAAAAAGUUUGAAUUUCCGUUCGUUUUCAGUCUUGAGCUUUAUACUAAAAACGUUAGGUUUUGACAUUUAAAUAGGAAAAUCAUAGAUAAAUUAAAUGUUAGCCUUAUAAUUUUUUAAAUGCAGUGAGUUGAACUUCUCUACUUUUAUUUUUUUUUUCAAAAAAAUUAAUAAACACCGGCUUUGAGGGGCCGCUUUUUUAAAAAAAAAUUCAGAUCAAGAAAAAUUAUAUUAGAGACGGAUCCAAAUCCAUUAUUAGACUAUAGUAUAAUUGUGCGAACUACGUGGGAUCACUGAAUUCCGUGGCAGACCGGUCAUGAUCAACUAAGGGUCCGUUUGGGGCAGCUGCUCUCCACCCUAUAUUCUAGGGAAUAUUCACCUGGAAUAAAGCAUCCACAGCGCAACUGUCCCAAACGUUCGCUAAAAAUAGUAGAUAAAAAGUAGAUAACAGAGGAAAAAUGUUUUUUGACUCGAUGAAAAGUUUGUCGGCAGUAAUUCAUGAUUAUCAAACUAAUAUGUUCGUGAUGGCAGAUUUUUGAGAAAAUUUUUUUUUAUUUUAUCAAAUAACCUUAUAAUCUUUACAGGGAAUGAGAUCAGAAAAGAAAAAAAAACAGAAAUUACCUUUUUUUUUUCAUUUAUAAAUGGCAAAAGGUGAAAAGAUAUUACAACACUUUGAGAUAUGUCAUUUUUAUACUUGAAGUUUCAAGAAAUUCUAUUUUGCAUAUUGUGCUAAAUCUGUCAUAAAAUUUAUACGAGAAGACGAUUUUUGCCAUUCUAAUUUAAUUUAACAUUAUAAUGCAAUUCAACACUUUGAAAUCUACCAUUUUUAUUCUUGAAGUUUCAAGAAAUUCCAUUUUACACAUUGCCCUUAAAUCUAUUAUUAAAUGUGUAGGAAAAGACAGAUUAUGCUGUUGUAAUUUAAUUUAACACGAUGAUGCAUCACAUUCAAGGCAACCACCAUUUUCCUACGUAGUCCCAUAUAAAUUUUAAAUGCUUCAUUUGGUGUUCGGUGCUUUAUAAUAGAUUAAUGUAAGAUAUACUCAAACUUCACUUUUAUUUAAAUUUUUUUAUUUUUAUAUAAUUAAAUUAAAAUUAUAAAUAAAAAAUAUAUCAGUUAUUUAGAAAAAAAAAAAAAGGACCUUAGAGAACCCUUGUUAUUAUUCGGGAAGGAGAAGAGAAUUCCCUUAAACAAUUCUGAUUGGAAUGAGAAUAUAGACAUAUACAAAAUAGCAGGGAUGGAUACGAGGAGGUGGGUCCCCUCCUCUCCCCAUUGUUAUCCCUGGACAUGUUCUAAUUUUUUAUAUACAGCUGUCGUUCGUGACCGAUGGUAAUUAAGAUUAAAAUAAUUUAUCUUACAUUAGAUACGGAUCAAAUGUAGCCAGAAUGCCAAAAUGAUGAUUAAUUAAUUAACGUUUGAUGACACCAUCCUACAAAUGAUGAUAAAUUAUUAUCUGUUUUAAAGGAAAGUAAUAAUUUUUGUUUGGGGAAACUCUGGGUGGUAAAGGGGGCCAAUAAUUCAGUGACACGAGAUGAAUAAAGUCAGCUAAGUGAAGUCAAUUCGUUUGACCAAAUGACAAUCUCAAAGGUUAGAAGAUAAGCCCCAUCAGGAAAAACAAUAGUUCUAGUAAAUAUAAAUAAAAAAUUUCUUGAGCAAAGCAAUAGGAGGGACCAUGUCGGUUGUUUUUUGCUAUCCUCUACAAAGUAGCAGGAUCAUUGCUCGAGCUUCCUCCACAUGGCAAAAAGUGAGGACCACAAGAGGGAUAAAGGAAUUUGUUGCUCGCCAAGCUUACUUGGUCAAUACCAAGUGAACAAAAGAAAAUGACAAAAAUAGCCCCACUUAAGAAAGGCAGCACCAAUAGAAAAUAUCCAUGUGGCAAAAAUGAUGAAAAUGCGCCUAAGGCACCUGUACUAUAAAUUCAGCUCAAGACACAAGACAAAUGGAUUAUUUCAGAUCUGAUUUCUUGCUUGAAAGACUGCUUUAUCUUCUUCUUCUUUCUCUAUUUUUACACCUCCAUGGAAGAUUUUGGCCAUCUCAUCUCUCAUGGAAGAUUUUUCCUUUUUCUUUUCUUAAAAACUCCCUAAUCUCCAUAAAAUAUACAUCAUCUUCAUCUUAUUACUCAAUAUAAACAACAUUUAAUAAGGUUUUGUUGAUAUUGCAAAGUAAAUCAUGUAAUACUUCAUAUACAUAGUGGAUUGGAGAUGAUUACUCCUGCAAAUGUAGGACAAAGGGUCGAACCAAAUAAAAGCUUGUAUGUUCUUUAUUAUUUAUACUUAUUUUUUGCUUAUUAUGUCCAUAGAUAAGCUUUCUAGAUCUAUCCUAGAAUUCACCAAAGUCAUCCCCUGAGCUCUUUUAAGGUCUUCAUGUUAAAUCUCAAAAUUAACUCUCACGAUCUUUAGUAAGUUCUCUAUAUCAGUUCACCUCCCAAAUCACCUUAGUUCACCUUUCAAAUUAUCUCAUAACAAGCCUAUAAAGAUAGGGUGACCCUAAGUUACGUUAAGUGUAUCUUAUGUUUUCUGUCUUUUUCUUCUGGCAAUUUUCAUACAAGUCCUUAUUUUUAUUACUUUUAUAUUUAAGGAUGCAUUUGCCUUCUUCUAUCACUUAUACACCUAUUUUUCAUUCUUUCUAAUGUUUUCUUUAUUUCUUUAAACAACAAUGUAUGGUUAUCAAAUUUAUAUAAAUCUGUAAAUUCAGAAUAAAUUUCUAGUCCUAAAUUUAUUAUUCCCAUUCUUUCUUGUUCUAACAGUUCUAUUUUUUGGGUUAUUUGAUUUAUAUAGCUUGUUAUAAUAUUUUCCUAGCCUAGAUUCAUGUGAUCUAUAGUUUCUGCUAAAUUAUGUAUCACAUUAAAAGCAUGUUGGUUCAUGGUAGUGCUUCUUUUUUGUACUAGUAUACUAAAAACUUUAUAAAUUCAUCUAUGAAUUUCAUUUUCUUUUCUAUUAAAAUCUCACCUCCUACAGUAUCUAUAUUUCUUUCUUGUAAUUCUUGAGUUAAUUCAAGCUCGAUAUUUCGGAUGUUAUUCUUCUCAGAUUUUAUAGACAUUAUUAAAUUUUUUAUUUCUUCUUUCUCAAAUACUUUUAAAGUAUAUAAACUCUCUAUUAUAUUUUUUAUAGGAUCCAUGGCUCUGAUACCAUUUUAUGGGUAGAUAAAAAAAAACCAAAAAACACAAUAAAAUAAAUAAAUUAAAAAACAAAAAGAAAACAAAAACCAAUUAAGUCAACAAAAUUAAACAAAACAAAUAAAUAAAUAAUAUUAAGUAGUUGAAUCAAACUAUUCGGAUAAUAGAAUUUUGAUGCAAAAAUUCUAAAAGAUAUAUCUAUUUUAUGUCUUUAUUAUUAUUAUUAUUCAUCUAAAAGAAUAUAUCUAUCAUAUCUUAUAUUAUCAUUAUUUCUUAAAUAUAAGGCUAUAACUUCUUCCCCAUUAAUUAUACUAGGUAUAUUUCCGGGAAAACUAGGAACAUAAAAAUCAUAAUAAUUAUUAUGAGUUUCUAUAAUAUAUGUAGGGUUAUUAAUCUGAUUUAAAAUUUCUAAAUUAUAAGAUAUGUAAGAUAUGUUUACUGGAUAACAGAAUAUUUCUAAUUUUAUGAAAUAUAUAUUAUUAUUUAUUAUAUUAGUAUAAUAUCUUGUUUCCCUGUAUGUGUUCAUGAUUACAGAAUAUUAUACCGACUUAAGGUCUUAUAUUUCUAGUUCUUCAUUAUCUGAAUUAUCUAUAUAUUCUAUGUAUGAGGGGUCUAUUCUUAAACUUUCAUUUUCUAUUUUAGCUUUAAUUAUAUCAAUAGUUUCAUCUAUAGUUAACAUUGUGAUUAAGUGUUUUAGAUUAUCUAUUUCUAAAAUGUUUAAAAUUCUUCGUUUUAUUUCUGGUGGUAAUUCUAGUGUAUAUAUAGCUUCUAUCUCUUCUUUACUAAUAAGUUCUUCUUUGCUAAAUAUGUAUGAACUUUACUUAAAAGAUUCAAGAUUAAAAUCUAUUAUCAUCAUGUAGUUAUUAUAUGUUAUCCUAGUUGUAGGAUUUAUCAUUUUUUCUUUUGGAUUUCCACGUCCUAAUCUAACACUCAUAUUUUGAUAAACACUCAUUUUCCUUAUUUUUAACAAUUUUGAUUAAUGAUUUGAAUAAGAUUCACUUCUGAGAGAUGCUCAUCCACCAUCAAUCUCUUCAUCUACAAUCAUUACCAAACUUCCACCAUGAGAUAAGGUUAGAGAAUUAUUACCUAAGUUAUCCUUUUUUCUUCGUCUUAAGAUCUGUCUCCAGUGACCUGCAGCCUAUGCGUCCUUCAUUCCCUCAACGGCCUCCUGCCUUAACGGGAUCAAGCGGACUCCAAUGGCCUUUCUGUAUGGAUCUUGAUCUUCUUUCUUAGAAAUAAAGAUAAUUUUAGGUUUCUCUUUCCUUUCUAUGGGGUUGUUUGUUUUCCUUUCUAUGGGAUAAUUUUAGGUUUCUCUUUCCUUUCUAUGGGGUUGUUUGUUUAUGAUUGAUGAUGUAUUGAUUUCUGGUUUCGAGCUUAAGAGAAUUUAGCUAUUCAUUUUUCAGAGAGUUGUUUCCUCCAAAAAAAAUAUUGCCAAAGUGAAGUAUGGUGUGUAAUCUGAGCCUCUUGCUCUUUCCUCUUUCUUUUUAUUUCAAAACUUUUGUUUCGAGAUUACAUUCUUGCCCUUUUGGCUUUUUUCAAUUAGUACAAAUGCUUUUCCUACUACAUUAUUACAAAGACUUUUCUUUCCUUAUCAUGCGCUUCUGCUUUUUCCUUUUAUCAUGAGCCUUUACUUUUUUGCUAGGGCAUCCUUUAUUUUGUCUGCCACUUGCAUUAUUCUGAUUUUUGUCUGCCACUUGCAUUAUUUUGAUCACGCUAUGCGUAUCUGAUUGCUUGUCUCCAUGAGUUGGAAAGCAUGUUGUAUGGUUUCACUGCUGCUUGGAAAGCGCCUAGUGCUUAUUUCAUUAAUUAGCUCCAGCAAGAUAUUUGAUGGUGUAUGGUUGUCUUCUGUUGUCACUAAGAUAUAAUUCUGGAAUCUGAUGAUGGUUCUGAAAUUCCUCUUGUAUAGGUCUUUUGCUAUGCUCCAAAUGGCUUUUAUCCCUUUGGCUCUUCGGGUUUUUAUCCAGGACUUGGUUAUAUGAGGAACUUCUGUGUAUCCAGUUCCUACCUCUAUUUUAAAAUUUUUUGUGAGGUGUCCCACGGAAAUCAUAUAAAAUGCUUGAUAUUCUAUAUUUUGAUGGUAUUCUAGACUUAUGGUGUAGAAUUUGAGGUAUAUGGGUUUUUUCUGGGCAAAUUUUGACACUUCUUUGACUAAAAGUUCGUCAAAGCUGGCUAUUUCUCUUAGAUCUAUAUCUGGAUAGACUAAAUCUAGGAAUCCAUAACGGGCUAUUUUUCCAACAAGAAGGGGGUCAGCCCCCUUUGUGGCUAUAAAUCUGGGAUAUAUGUUUUUUCCUGGUGCUUUAAAGAUGCUAUUAUUAUGAGAACAAAUAGAGUAUACCCAGGUAGCAAACUGUUUAUACUCUUAUUCUUUUUGGUUCAGAGGUUCUUCUUUUUCUUCAGUAUAGGGACUGUCUAUUUGAAUGAAUUUCUUUGUUGGGCUUAUUUUUGGAGAAUCAACCUCUAUGGAGAUUGUUUGGGUAGGAGCUGUAUCAGAGAUUGGUUUAUAGUCUCUCAGGGGUCCACUACUGCUUCCUGUAUUCAUUGGACUAGUGCACACUGGCACGGUGUUUAUUGAGAGUGCCUUUGUGAGAUCUUUUAUGUAUGAUCCCAACAAAUGGACUCCUUUUUCAUGGGCUUCUGAAGCCUCUUUUAUAUAAUUUAUUGCAUCAAUUAUGUCUGAUGCUUCUGUUGCCAAUCUUUGUAUUUCGGCAUUUAUUUCAGAAAGGAUUUUAAUUGUGUCUGGAUCCAUCUCCAAAUUCUAUGUUUCUGCUUAAGAAAUCUGCAAGAAAAUUGUUAGAUCCCUUUAUAUGUAUGAUUUUAAAAUUAUAAUAUGAUAAAUAAGCUUGCCAUCUAUGUAACCUUCUGUACUAGGGUUCAUUUGGUAAAACUUUAUUUAUUAAUGAGUUUACCUGAGAAUUGUCUGUUUCUAUAGUAAAUUGUUUUUGUAAUAAAAACAAAGAAAACUUUUUUAUUCCUUUAUAUAUUGCAAGCAGUUCUUUUUCAUGUACAAGAUAAUUGACCUGUGCUUGGUUGAAUGUACCACUGGUGUAUCUACAUAUUUCAUUUAUGUCAGUCUUAAGUAUAGCUCCCCAAUAUAGAUCAGAUGCAUCAGUCUGCAUUACUAACUUAUCAGUUUUAUCUGGUAAUCUUAAAAAAGGGAGAUUUUUACAUUCCUCCUUUAAGUUUUUUAUAGUUUCUGUAUGUUCUAUACUCCAUCCUCUAGUAUUAUUUUUCCUUAGUAGCUUUUGAAGUAUAUUUUUCUUUUUAGCUAGAUUUUCUAUAAAUCCUUCUGCAUAAUUUAAGCAGCCUAAGAAUUUUUGUAUCUGUUGUUUAUUUUCUAAUUUAUCUAGAAAAUCAAUAAUUUUUCUUCCUAUAUGGCUUUGGAGUCUGAUUCCUUGUUUAUCUAGAAUCAUUCCUAAAAAUUCAAUUUUCUUAUGUUCUAUUACUGCUUUUUUUUCUAACGGAACUAUUCCUUCUUUAACACAUACAUGUACAAAUUCUUUUAAAUGUUUUCUGUGUUCUUCUAGUGUUUCAGAGGCUAUUAAUAUGUCAUCAACAUAUACUAUUAUGUAUUUAUAAUUUCUAAAUAUUUUAUCCAUUCUGCUUUGGAAUAUUUGUGGGGCAUUUUUUAAUCCAAAAGGCAUUACUAACCAUUCAUAAUGUCCUUGAGGAGUACUAAAGGCUGUAUAAGGAAUACUAUUUUCUUCCAUUUUUAUCUGCCAAAAGCCUGAUUUACAGUCAAACUUUGAAUAAUAAGUUUUGUUUUUUACUAGAUUUAUUAGUACUUCUUUAUUUGGCAAAAAAUAUCCAUCAAAUUUUGUAUAUUUGUUUAAUUCUUUAUAAUUUAUUACCAUUCUAGCUUUCCCUGUAACUUGUUGUGCUCUUUUUCUAACCAUAAAAGCUGGGCUGUUGUGUGGACUAUUACUAUCUCGUAUUAAGUUUAAUUUUAAUAAUUCUUUUAUUUUAAUUUUAAAUUCUUCUCGAUCUUCCUCCGUGUACAUCAUAGGUUUAAGUCUUAAUUUUAAAUUCUUCUCGAUCUUCCUCCGUGUACAUCAUAGGUUUAAGUCUUAUGAUUCUAUUUUCUAUUAAUUCUAUUUUUGCUCUGGGAUGAUCUGGUUUCCAUAAGGCUAAUGGAUUCUCUUUAUAAACCUUUUCAAGUUGGGAUUUUAUUGUUUCUAAUCUUAUGCUUAUGUUAUAACUCUGUCCUAUUGAAAUUAAAUAAUGUUUUUCAUAUAUGGUCUUAUCACCACGCGAGGUUGGCUGAACUCGAUAAGGACGAAAUUCGCGAGGAAUGCGAAGAAUAUGAUUGCAUGGGGUCUUAAGAGUAAUCAUAUAGGUCGUUUGUUGGUAAUAUUGAAACUGUUGUAAGAAAUCAUUACCUAAGAGUAUAUCACAGUCCAUUUGGUCAUAUUGGAAGAUAUGAUUAAUACGUACAAUUUUACUUCCUAAAAGAAUUUCAAAAUUCUUUAAGGAUAGAUUGAUAUGUUGUUUAUCGCCUGUGAUACCUACAAGUUUUAUUGUGCUAUUUGAUUUCCAUUGGUUUGACAAAAAGGUGUUCAUAAUUGUAAUUUCACUUCCUGUGUCUACCAAGGCACAAGUGUCUAUAUCUUUUUCUAUUAUGUUUAUUUGUAUAUAAACAGACAUAGGAUAUUUCACAUAUGCUUGUCUUAACAUGUUUCGCAUAUUAUUUUUUGUCCUUCUAUUUGUAAAGUUAUUUGCCCUUUUUCUAUUUUAUAAUAUUCUAGACUGUUUAGGAAACUAUUUCCUAAAACUAUAUGUUUUUCUGGGUCUGUAGUCAUAAAAGAGUCUAUGUAGCAAGAUACUAUUAUUCUUAUUCCUUCAAUUAUUAAUGGAACUUUUACUUCUUGUCUACAUAUAUGCUUAUUACCAUUGAAGUCAGUAUAUUCAUACGGAAUUUCUUUUUCUUUUAUCAAGAGUCCUUUAUUUUUUGUAUGAUUCAUAUAAUUAUGACUUGUUCCUGUAUCUACUAGAAUAGGUAGUUUGGUUGUAUAUUCUAUGCCAUUGAAGUACUGUCCAAGUAUUUUUACUACACUACUAGUGAGUAUAGGUUUUACUAUUUGCUUAUCCAUAUUGAUUAUUUGUUUAUCAGUACUUAAUCUUCUAGAAGACCCUCCUCGCAAAAGAGUUCUUCCUGCAAAACUUAUAGGGAUUAUAGAAUUCUCAUUAUUAUCAUUUAAAAAUUAUUUUUUAUCAUCUACAUCUAAUUCGUAUGUUAUAGGAAUUUUAUAAUCCUGUAUGAUAGGUUCUAUUAUGGUUGCUAUAUCCUCACAUUCUUUAUUUAUUUCUAUAUAUGGUUUAUUUCCAUAAAUUUCUCCAUAAUUUGAGUUACAAAAACUAUAUAAUGCUAAAUAGUGUAUAGUCAUUAAUCUAUUUCCUUCCUUCAUUAAGUUCUUUUUUAGGAGUUUAAAAUGUAGGCUUAAAGUUUCAUCUAUGUUUUUAUCUUUUAUAUGUACACAGUAUCUAGGGUGACAUGUAAAUAGUAAUUUAGUAUAACAUAAGUUUCCUUCUACUGUUCCUAGAUGUCCUAUGCUAGGGUCAUGAAAUCUUUGGUCAUGGAUUGAUAAAACUAUUGGGCUAUCUACCCCUUCUUUGAAGAGAGAUUUUAUCAAAAUUUGGAUUUCAGCUAAAUAUACAUAUUGUAUUUUUUCUUUCGUUGAUUCAUUCUUUAUUUUUCUUAAAGCUAAAUCUAUUGUUCUUUUGUUUAUUAAACUGAAUCGUAUAUUUCCUUCAGCUUGUGUUAUAGUUACAGCUUUUUUUUGUUCAUAGUAUUCAUGUAAGAUUAUUCUUUUUCUUUUAAAUAAAUCUCUUAGUUUUUGUAAGAUUCCAUACUCUGGUUUUUCCACAUUUAAUCUUAAAAGUUUAUUAUAUUUUUCCUUAUUAAAAGUGGCUACUAAGCUAUAUCCACUUUUAUUUUCCUCUCUUUCUAUUUCUUCAAUGUCUUCUAUUUCUUCUUUUUCAAUUAUUUCUUUUUCUUUAUUCUGAUUCAUUUUCCUCCUCUUUCUCCAUAUAUACUUCCAACCCUUCAUAUUCUGACAUGCUUGUUAUUUCUUCUAAUUCAUCUUGUAUUUGAUCAAAAUCUUCUUGUAAAAUUCUAACCUUUUUCUUUUUACAAUCUGUACUGAUAUGUCCUAUUUCACCACAAUUCCAGCAUUUGCAUUUUGAUUUAUCUAAUAGCUUUCUUUGGUUUUUAUGUUUCCUUUUGUAGUAUUUCCUUCCAGGUUUCCUGUAUUUCUUUUUAAAAUUGUUAUAUUUUUUAUAUCUUUUUUCCUUUUUAUGCUUAUUUCUUUUUCUGUUAUAGGGCAUAAAACAUCCCCAUUGCGUUGGCAUUUCUGUCUUUUCACAACAUAUUUCUGUUAUUGAUAGGUUCUAUUAUGGUUGCUAUAUCCUCACAUUCUUUAUUUAUUUCUAUAUAUGGUUUAUUUCCAUAAAUUUCUCCAUAAUUUGAGUUACAAAAACUAUAUAAUGCUGAAUAGUGUAUAGUCAUUAAUCUAUUUCCUUCCUUCAUUAAGUUCUUUUUUAGGAGUUUAAAAUGUAGGCUUAAAGUUUCAUCUAUGUUUUUAUCUUUUAUAUGUACACAGUAUCUAGGGUGACAUGUAAAUAGUAAUUUAGUAUAACAUAAGUUUCCUUCUACUGUUCCUAGAUGUCCUAUGCUAGGGUCAUGAAAUCUUUGGUCAUGGAUUGAUAAAACUAUUGGGCUAUCUACCCCUUCUUUGAAGAGAGAUUUUAUCAAAAUUUGGAUUUCAGCUAAAUAUACAUAUUGUAUUUUUUCUUUCGUUGAUUCAUUCUUUAUUUUUCUUAAAGCUAAAUCUAUUGUUCUUUUGUUUAUUAAACUGAAUCGUAUAUUUCCUUCAGCUUGUGUUAUAGUUACAGCUUUUUUUUGUUCAUAGUAUUCAUGUAAGAUUAUUCUUUUUCUUUUAAAUAAAUCUCUUAGUUUUUGUAAGAUUCCAUACUCUGGUUUUUCCACAUUUAAUCUUAAAAGUUUAUUAUAUUUUUCCUUAUUAAAAGUGGCUACUAAGCUAUAUCCACUUUUAUUUUCCUCUCUUUCUAUUUCUUCAAUGUCUUCUAUUUCUUCUUUUUCAAUUAUUUCUUUUUCUUUAUUCUGAUUCAUUUUCCUCCUCUUUCUCCAUAUAUACUUCCAACCCUUCAUAUUCUGACAUGCUUGUUAUUUCUUCUAAUUCAUCUUGUAUUUGAUCAAAAUCUUCUUGUAAAAUUCUAACCUUUUUCUUUUUACAAUCUGUACUGAUAUGUCCUAUUUCACCACAAUUCCAGCAUUUGCAUUUUGAUUUAUCUAAUAGCUUUCUUUGGUUUUUAUGUUUCCUUUUGUAGUAUUUCCUUCCAGGUUUCCUGUAUUUCUUUUUAAAAUUGUUAUAUUUUUUAUAUCUUUUUUCCUUUUUAUGCUUAUUUCUUUUUCUGUUAUAGGGCAUAAAACAUCCCCAUUGCGUUGGCAUUUCUGUCUUUUCACAACAUAUUUCUGUUAUAUUUCUACUCUUUUUUAUUAGAUUUCUCUGGAUACAUAUAUCACUAAGUCUUGUAUUUAGAAAUCUUAUUCUAGAUCCUAAGUUAUCUGGUAGUUUAUUUGAAGUAAUAAAUUUCUCAUAUUCAUUUAUAAAGUAACUAUUCCAAGGGUAUGGUAACUUGGAGUAAUAUAGGUUUUUAUAAAUUUCUUGAUCUUCUAAACUCACAUAUUGUUCAUAGUAGUAUUUACUAAAUUCACAAGUAUAUUCUCUGAUAAAACACAUAUUGCAAAUUGUUAAGUUUAAUAGAUUUAUUCUUGCUCUUUGUUUUUCAUUAUUUGCCUCUCUUUCUGAGUUUUCUAGCCAAUCUUCUCCUAGAAAUUCUCUGGCAAUGUAUUCAAGUAUUCUUUCUAUUCCUAGAGCAGUGCUUCUUCUAAAAGCUAUUUUGGUUUAAUCUUUUAUUAACAUUUGUGUAUCAUCACUUAAUCCUCUCCACCAGUUAAAUAUAUUUCCUGUAAAACUGGUUAUUAGGAUGUCUGUGAAUAUGUCUAUCUUUUCUUCAUUGGUAGUUACAUUCCAGUCAUCAUUGGCUCCAUUAUAUGUGAAGAAUAGCUUCAUUUGCAUUCCCCAUUCUACUAAUGUUUUUCGAGGGUUUUCUUUGCAAUCUAUAUUUAGAAAUGAUCCACUAUUGCUUAUAGGUACUAAUGUAUCCUGAUUGGGUUUAUAUUCUUUUUUCCAGGGGGUAGCUUUUACUUUAGGUAUAUAUUCAUAAAAAGGUUUAUUCUUUUUCUUAGGUAUAAACCUAUGACUAGGUUCUGCAACAUUUGGUUUCAUCUCUGGUCCUCCUGCUGUAUUCAUUUUUAUUUGGUAUUCUUUUUCAAAUUCUUCUAAAUCGCUAAGGUUUAUGUCACUAAAUUUUUCAGUUAAAUUUUCUAUUGUAUCUUCCAUUAUUCAUAAUUGGACUCAGUUUGUUCUUUUAUCUCUAAUUUCUCUUUUCCUUUUUCCUUCUUUUUUAUUUCUGCUUUUAAUUCUUCAGCUUCUUGUAAUAUUUUUGGAUAUUGUGUUUCCAUAAACCAGUAGUCAUAACUACCUUUUUGGGGUUUUUGUGUAGGUUUUUUAAAGUUUGUUCCAAUAAUACCUGAUUUUAUUAUCUCAAGUCUUUCUGUUUUCUUUUUUUUCUUUUGCCCUUUUUGUAGUAAGGAUAUUUCUAUCUUUAAUUUUCCUAUUUCUUGUCUUAUUUCUUUUAUUUCUUCUUUUAGAUUUAAAAGUAUCUCUUUUAACUCUAUUAUUGUGGUUUCCAUUAAGUACAAGGGAGUUUAUAUAUAUUUUGUUUAUUUGAAUGUAUGUUACGUUGCAAGUAACAUAGGCUUGGCCAUAAAGAUAAGAUCCAUGCACACAAAACCAAGCCUAAGAGAGGAGCCCGUUCUGGGAACAAUUAAUUGAGUGCUCACACGCAGAGGAGAUCCCCACACGAGAAUGUCGUGUAUAUGCUCAUCCUUGGCCACCAUUUACAUGUUUUCCCUUUGUUUGAAUUUUAUUCAUUUUUAAAACAAAUUAUAUUGAGAAUACAAUUCCUAAUACAAAUUCGAAUUUAUUUUAAAUCAUUGUAAAAUUAUAACUCAAAUUUAUAGAGGAAAGGAGAAUAGAGCGUAUGUAUUUAAAGAGGCGAUUAUAUCACACUGUGAUUAUCUAGAAAGCUCUCUAUUCUAUAUUGCUUUCUCUGCCUUCAUCUUGUACAUUUUGCUAUUCUAAACUAUCUUGUUGAAGUGCAACAUCGCGAUAAUAGUCAUUGUAUCCUGGAGAUCAAAUCACCUUCGCUAGUCGAUAUUAUAUCUUAAGGCGCAAAAUUUGGUCUUAAGAACAAUUGCCUUGACUGCUUUUCUAUUUUAGUCGAGUUUUCUGUCUAAACUUCUAUUGCUUUCCAUAUUAAUUUUCUAAUAAGCUCACCUUCCAUAUUAUUUCAGUUAUAACUCUUGCCGCAAAUAUUAAAAAAAAACACAAAUCAACCUUUACUAGCCAAUCUCCCCCUAAAUAUAAUUUUUUUUUUGUUUUAAUCAUAUUUGACUUGUAUCUAAUGAGUAUAACCACCUAAUGGUUCGAAUUCGAUCUUAACAAAAAUUGAGUUAAAACUCUUUCGUUACUCACAAAGCGAAUACAUUCAUAAUAUUUGUAAGAAUUUUAUCCGUCAUACAACCAGAUCAUUUAGAGCUAGGAAUUGGGUAAAAUUGAAACCUAAUGCCGAUACCUUGCAAAUUAUGCAUGCAAUUAGUUAAUUGUAGAUAAGUAGAUUAAUGACUAUAAUUCAAUUGUGCAAGUUAACUAGGAGCAUAUAUGCAAUAAUUGAAUAUUGUUUUUUAAUUCAAUAUAUAAUUUGUUGGUAAUAAUCAGCCAAUUAAACCAAAUAAACCGUGAUAGUUUGAAAAUUAUUUCAGUACCCUAAGAACAAAAUUUGCCAAAAUUUUCAUCAAUACCUUCUAAAAACUCAAAUGAAAUUACUAAAGUAUCCUCAUCUUAAAACAAUUAUGCAACUCAAACAUAACAUGGAUCAAACAAACAUAACUCAUACAUGCUAAACUGGAGGACUAAUACACACGAGCAAACCGAGCCUGGAGAAGAGGAAUCUACGCAACUAAGAAAGAGAAGCUUGGUUCGUCGCUGUAUAGUCGCCUGCAAGAGUUGAUCCUUUGCUGUAAAAUUGUCAGAAUCUGACUUCUUUUGGCAAGUAAUUCCUUGUAAUUAAUUGAUAUUUGAUAUUUAGGGAAAAAUAAAAAAAUUAGGGUUUUAUAUUAAAAAAUAGAUUAAAUUAGUUGUAGGUCUCUCAUAACAUAUUCAAAAAUAAAUUUCUAGCUGUUUUGCUCAAUGGAAAUGGUGAAAAAUUGAUGGGUUGUGCAGAUUAUAAUUCGAUCGUGCAAGGUCAUGUAACACAGGAUUCAAGGUCUUAUAUUACACAUGAGUUCAUAUAAUGCACGACCCUCAGUCGAUUAUGACAUGAUUUUCUGUAAUAUUACAUGACCUUCAGUCGUAUAUUAUAGGACUUUCACGACCUUCAGUUUUGUAUUACACGAUUUUCAUGUAUGACAAGAUUACACGACCUUCAUGUAUUACACGAUGUUCAUUACUUAGAGACAAUUUGUCUAGGAAUCUUCCAAUCUUGAAGAAGUCAAAAAUGAUUAUGAGAAUGAAGUCCUUGAUAUCACUGCAAAAGAUGCUAUAGCUUUUGUUAUAAAAAUUUCUGGUAAUGCUUUACUUUUUCAUAUCAUCUUGGUUUGUCUGGCUACUAUUGCUCUCUUCUGUAUUGGCAGCAUUGUGGUAGCGCAUUUGUUUUUUUUUUUUUUUUUUUACAUUUUGCUACUAGAGUAAGAUAAUGACUGCAUGAUAGUUUGAAUGAACAUUUUUCAUUGCACUAUCUCAAGGACAUGAUUAGUUCUUGAAUAGCAUUUUUUUUCAUCUUUGUUGCAAUUUCUUUUUGUUGGUGAUAAGCCAUGCCAAUUAAAGUCAAAUAAAUCAAACCGAUGGUGAUAAAUUACUACAACAUGGUCACAUGUACAUGGCCAAAUAAUGUUGAUACUCUAAAAUUGAUCGAUAAUGACAUAUAAAUUAGAAUACAAAAUUAAAUAUUUUAAUUUAUUCUUUGUAAAAUAAAAUAUUAUUAUAUAUUGAGCAAAAUUACAUUAAAGGAAACCCAAGAAUGACUUUUUGCUUCACUGUGACAUCUAGAUCGUAAUCAACAUGGUCCAAAGUAGCUUGAACAGCUCAUGGUAAUAUCAAGCCAUGAGAUGUCUUAAGCUUGAACUUUAUUGUGAUUUCAAAUUCUGAAAUAUCUAUAUCAAUAACUUGAGCUACCUUCUUCAACAAUUCCCUAUAUGUUAUUUAUUGUGGUAUCAUUAUCCCUUUAGCCUCAGAACCUUUGAACCUCUACCCGUCAUUUCAUUCAAUUCAUUCACCAUUAAAAAGAAUAGUUACACAUACCAAAACCAUAUUUAUUGAUAUAAUAAAAAUAAUAAUAUCAAAUUUCAUUUAACUGUAGUUGAGUGACAAUAAUCUAGAUGGGUUCUUGAGUGAUCAUAUGAGUUGUUGCAUGUUUGCUGUAGCAUUUUCCUCUAAUAAAUUAUAUAACAUUGACACGACUUAAAAGUGUUUGAUUUACUCCCAAGUAUAAGAGUGCCUAGUUAUAAUAUAUCUCGGUGAGUCCGAGGUUGAUCCACAGAGAAAGGAUUUAAUUUGUUUAUUUAAGUUUAUCAAAAAAAUAAAAAUAAAAUUUAAAAAUAUGAAAUUUAGUUUAAUAAAAACUAUAAAAUUGAAUUAGUUAGGAAUAUGGAUCCACUCCUACUAAUAAAUACAAUUUAACAAAUUUUUUAUUUUUUAUUUUAUUUCCCAAAAGAUUAAUUGUAAAAAUUAAAAUUAUUUUCCCAUUUAUUUUAUUAUGGAUUAAGAACUUAGUGUGCCAAAACUUAAUUUGUCUACAAUAAAUCAAAAUAUCAUUUUACCAUACUUUAUACUAAGAGUUUAAGAAUUCAUUGUGCCAAACUCCCAUGUUUGUCUACAAUAAAUCAAAAUUUCAAAAUAUAAAAUAUGGAUAAAAUUAAAUAGAAAAUAAUUUAAUUUAUAAAAUUAAAAAUAGAAUUUGAUUAAACUAUAUUUUUACUAAGAGUUUCACCUUCCCCUAACUACUAAUAUUUAGCUAAACGUAUUUAAAAUAAAAGGAAUUUUCUUUAAAAACAAAAAAGACAUAAUUAAAAAAUGCUUGAAAAUUGAAAAUAAAACUAAUUUUAUUUAUUGAAAAUAUAUUAGAAAGAGAGAUGAGAAGAAGAAUUUGGGGGGAAAGAAGAGAAGAGAAGGUGUGAAGAGGUGUGUUCACCCCCCUCUUUAUUUAUACUAAUACUUGGUAAAUUCACACCACACAAAUAAAAAAAAUCUAAUUACAUCUUAACCUUACAUUUUUCCCACUAAUAAAACAUAAACCUAAUUUAAUCCAUUCAAGCAUAUCCAACACAUUAUUAAAACUAAUUUUAUUUAUUGAAAAUAUAUUAGAAAGAGAGAUGAGAAGAAGAAUUUGGGGGGAAAGAAGAGAAGAGAAGGUGUGAAGAGGUGUGUUCACCCCCCUCUUUAUUUAUACUAAUACUUGGUAAAUUCACACCACACAAAUAAAAAAAAUCUAAUUACAUCUUAACCUUACAUUUUUCCCACUAAUAAAACAUAAACCUAAUUUAAUCCAUUCAAGCAUAUCCAACACAUUAUACUAACAAUUACCAUACCUAAUAUGAUAAAAACUUAUAAUUUUACAAUUAUCACAUUUACCGUGGUAAAAACAUAAAAAUUUACAACAAAAGUCUCGACUCCUCCUCGACAAUGACAUAAUUUCUCAGACUUCCGGAAUCCAAAUUUGACAUCCGUACAUUUGUUUGGAGCCUCAAAUUGCAUGAAAUUAUUAUUUUUACCUAAUAAACACAAAAAAAUACACAAAAUCAAAUAUUUAGAAAAAUAAUUAGAAAUUCACAAUAUGUUAUACAAUUAAAAAUAUAAAUUACAUUAAUAGCACAAAAUAACAUUUUUAUCCCUUAAUAAACAUACAAUUUUUAACACUAAUCAAACAUUCAUUAUUUCGGUUGACCUCUCAUUUAAUUAUACAAGUUAGGAGAGAGCAACAAAAGGGUCUGACUUAGUGGAACAUGUUACAGUAAUACUUGGUCUUAAAUUGAGUUUCUUGGAUUGAGUUUAACUUGAGUCCAAAAAUGGUCAUACCAACAUGCUCAAUAGACAAUUGUCCACUAUGAACUCUUUCUUUAACAAUUAGGAACUUGAUGUCUAUAUACUUCGAUUUUGUCGAGCUCUUACUGUUAUUGGAAUACAGCACUGCUGACUUAUUAACACAAAAUAAUCUGAGUGGUCCAUCAACACCACCUACUAUACGCAACCUCAUGACAAAAUUCCAUAACCAUAUUCCAUGAUUAGAUGCCUCAUAACAUGCUAUGAACUCGGCUGCCAUCGUAGAAGAGGCUAUAAGAGACUAUUUAGCACUCUUCCAAGAGACAACACCCCCAGCCAGCAGAUAGAUGUAACUCGAAGUGGAUUUCAUACUAUCUUGGCAUCCAACAAAAUCAGAGUUAGUAUACCCAAUGAUCUCAAGCUGAUUCGACCUCCGAUAUGUGAACAUGUAGUCUUUUGUUCUCUGUAAGUACUGCACAACCCGUUAGGUUGCUUUCCAAUGGUAUAUUCCUAGAUUACUUAAAUAUCUACCCAAUAUAUCAGUAGCGUACACAAUAUCUUGUCACGUACAAACCUGAACAUACAUCAAACUUCAUAAUACUGAUGCAUAAGGAAUCUUCUGCAUUUCUUUUUCCUCAAAAUCAUUUUUAGGGCAUUGAUUGAGACUAAACUUGUCUCCUUUAGCCAUAGAGGUAUUGCAAUCUUGCAUGGCAUAUCUCUUGAGAACCUUUUCGGUAUAACUAUUUUAUGAUAAUGCAAGAAUACCCCGGGAGCGAUCUUGGUGUAACUGUAUGCCUAAUACAAAAGAGGCGUUACCAAGAUCUUUCAUCUUAAAAUUCUUAGCUAGAAAUCUCUUGGUGUCAUAUAAUAAGCCUAUAUCGCUGCCGGUAAGCAAAAUGUCAUCGACAUAUAAAAUCAGAAAAAUAUAUUUGCUCCCACAGAACUUAUGGCAUAUGCAAUCAUCGACCAAAUUCAUUUUAAAACCGAAUAAGAUAAUCACUUGAUGAAAUUUGAAAUACCAUUGUCGAAAUGCCUGUUUGCGCCCAUAGAUGGAUUUCUUAAGUUUGCAGACCAUAUUUUUUGGGUUUCCAGACAUAAAGUUUUCUAGCUUCACUAUAUAAAUUUCUAGCUUCACUAUAUAAAUUGUCUCAUUGAUGUCGCCAUUGAGAAACAUCAUUUUUACACCCAUCUGAUGUAACUCAAGAUCGAAAUGCACCACUAAUGCCAUUAUAAUCCUAAAAGAGUCUUUUAAAGAAACUAAAGAGAAAUUCUCUUUAUAGUUGACGCCUUCUUUCUAUGUAAAGCCCUUUGCGACAAGACGCACCUUGUACCUCUCCACAUUGCCUUUGGAAUCCCUCUUGAUCUUAAAUAUCUAUUUACAACCAAUAGGUUUUUCACAUUCUGGCAAUGGGACAAGAUCCCAUACAUCAUUGUCAUUCAUGGACUUCAUUUCCUCAUCCAUGGCAUCAAUCUACUUCUAAGAGUUAGAACUUUUCAUGGCUUGACGGAAAUUGAUUGGAUCAUCUUCCAUUACUCCAAUGUAUGCCUCAUGUUCUUGGAGAAAUACAAUAUAGUCAUCUGACAAUGCAUUUCUCCUUUCUUUUGUGGAUAAGUUUGUUCUUCUGAAACAACUUCUUGUAUGGGGACUUCUCCAACAUUGUCUUGAUCUGUUGUAUUUUGAACAAAGUUAUGAAUGAGACCCUGAUCAAUGUCAAUAACACCUAUAGGAAUAUCAACAUAUUCUUCUUCAAAGACAAAGUCUCAGGCCGUAUCUGCCCCUGCAAACUCAACAUUAAGGGUGGGCAAAAAAACCGUAGUCUUAAAAAAACCGAACCGAACCGACGGUUUUUUCUAAUUCGGUACGGUUUUUUUUUUUACAAAAAACCGAACGGUACAAUUUAUAAAAAAACCGAAAUGUCGGUUCGGUAUUCGGUUCAUUUAACUGAACCGAAAAACCGAACCGAAAAACCGAAUUAUUUUUAAAUUUUAUUAAAUUAAAUAUGUGUUAAUUUUUAACUGAUUGUGUAAGAUAGCUAACAUAAACUUGCAUACACACAAUCAGAGUAUAUAUAUAUGUUAGUGUUACAAUUUCGUAAAUUUUUAUUUCCCAAAAUAAACCCUAAAAUCAAAUAUAAAAAAAUUUCGUAAAUUUCGUAAAUUUCAAUUUCUUGAAGAAUUUUUUAGGCUAAUGCAAUCUUAAGAACAACAGCAAGUAGCUGAGGAGUAAAUGAUAGUUGAUUGAUGUUGCUUACCAGUAAGUUUUCUUUAUUUUUUUUUAAACUAGCAUCUUAUUAUAUAGAUUGUUUAUUUAAUUAUUUAUUAAUAGUUAGUAAGAUAUUAUUGAUAAAAUGUGUUUUGAAUACUUUGUAUUUAUUGUUAAUAUUUGUAAUGAAAUUAGGAUGAACUUGUUGAAAAAAAUUAUUACAUUUAUGAAGCCCAAUGGGCUAAAAAUUUGAAAAUUCAAAAUAGGCCAAGAACCGAAAAAACCGAACCGAACCGAACCGAACCGAAAAGAACCGUUUGAAUUCGGUUCUUUUUUAGUUCGGUUCUUAUUCGGUUCUUUUUAUAAAAUAACCGAUUUAAAUCGGUUCUACUUAAUUUCGAACCGAACCGAACUGAACCGAACCGUGCCCACCCCUACUCAACAUCCUCAAAGAACCGAGCAUUUCUUGACUCAAAAAUCACCUUAGUCGUGGGAUUAUUAGACCCCUUGGAUCGUUCUGAGUAUCCAAGAAAAUAGUAACUCGCUAUUCUUAAGUCCAGUUUCUUCUCAUUAGACUUGUAAGGCCUUGCCUUAAAUGGACAUCCCCAAACAUGCAAGUGAUUUAGACUAGGCUUCUUAGCCGUUCAAAGCUCGUAAGGGGUUUUGACAAUUGUUUUAGUUGAAACUCUAUUAAAAAUAUAUGUUGCAGUCUUAAGCGCUUCUCCCCAGAGUGAUUCUAGUAAGGUAGAAUGAUAAAUCAUACUCCUCACCAUAUCUUUAAGCGUCUUGUUUCGUCUUUCAGCAACACCAUUUAUAGUGGGCGAACCUGGCAUAGUGUAAUGCGGAACAAUACUACAUUCCUUUAGGAAUUUAGCAAAUGGCAUGGACGUUGUUCACUUGAAACAUCAUAUCUACCACAGUAUUCACCACCAUGGUCAAAUCAGACACUUUUGAUUCUUUUAAAGAGUUGGUUCUCAAUUUCAACCUUAAAGAUUUUGAACAUAUCCAAUGACUGUAACUUUUCAUAGAGGAGAUAUAUGUAGUCAUAUCUAGAAAAAUUGUCUAUGAAUGUCAUAAAAUAUUGUUGACCAUUCCAAGCAACCGCAUAAAAUAGCCCACAAAUGUUUGUAUGUAUGAGUUCUAAGACAUCUGAAGUCCUGUUGGCUUUAAAUCUCCUUUUAUUGGUUUGUUUCUCUUUAAUACAAUUAAUACAAAUAUCGAAAUCUGCGAAAUCUAAAGGGUCGAGAAUUUCAUCUGACACAAGUCUCUCUAUUCUCCGUCUAGAGAUAUGAUCCAAUCUCUUGUGCCAUAAUGCAGUUGAAUUCUCAUUAGUUAAUUUUCUUUUUACAUCUCGUGUACUUAAUUGCAGGGAUUCAUUAAAUCAACCAAUCGUAUCAAGCAUAUAAAGAUUAUCAUCGCCUGACAAAGAACAGGAACCAACCAUUUUUGAAUAAUGAAACAAACUGAAUUUUCCGUUUCCAAAUGAACAAGAAUAACCAUAUUUGUCCAAAGUGGAAACAUAAAUCAAAUUUCGUCUAAAAGACGGAAAAACAAAUGUUUCAUCAAGAUCCAAAUAAAAUCUUAUCUUUAAUAAUAAUCUAAAUUUUCCAAUUGCUUCAACUUCAACCUUCUUGCCAUUACCCACAUAGAUGUAUCUUUCACCAUAUCGGGCUUUCGGUAAUUCAAGCAACCCCGCAUAAUCACACUAAUGAGAGUGGUUGUACCAGAAUCUAUCCACCACGUGUGUCUAGGUACCGAAGUUAAAUUAACCUGAGAACAAACCAAACAAUGUCCUUGAACUCUGUAAAAGAAAUAAUUAGUGGCCUCUCGAUCAUCCAAUUUCUUUUGUUAUUUCUUUUGAAGUGUUGUAUUUGCAGGUUCCUUAUCCUUCUUUAUUUUCUUGCCCUUAGAGGUAGAAGCUAGGUGAGCACUUUCUACCUUAUCUUUCUUUAGCCUAUCCUCUUUCUAAACACAGUGUGAUAUAAGCUCAUUUAGAGACCAAGUCUCUUUUUGACAAUUAUAGCUCACCUUAAACUGGUUAAAUUGUGUUGGUAAGGAUAUUAAAACAAAAAGCACUAGCAAGUCCUCAGAGAGUUUCAAGUUUAAGUGCUCUUAACUUAGAAGCAAGAUGAGACAUCUCUAUAAUGUACUCCCUGAUAUUGCCUUUACCUGUAUACCACAUUGAAAUUAGGCUUGUCAAAAGUGUGCCAAUUUCAACCUUUUCAUUCUUGACAAACCUCUGCUUAAUCUGUGCAAGGAACUCCUUAGCCGUAGUUGCUUUUUCAGUCAUUGAGUCCCUGAAUGCUUAUGGAAUGGCCUUCUUCAUGAUCAUGAUACACAUGUGAUUUGAUCUCUCCCACUUUUCCAUUUCCCUUUUAUUAUCAGAGUACUUUUAUCUGUGAGCGGUGGGGGAAAAUCAACCCUUAACGCAAGGUCAAGAUCCAUGACCGCGAGAACUAGAAAGGUUCUCAUGCCAUGAUUUGAAGUUAGAGCCAUUUAGCAUAGGAAUGGAAUUGAUGUUGGUAGUAAUAUUUGUCAUAGACAUAACUUAACAAAAAACAACAAAUAAACAAAUCAAGCUCAUAUUAGUCUUAAAAUAAAAUUAAAUUCAAAUAAAGGAAAACCCUAUCUCAAGAUAUCAGAUACUUUAUUAAUAUUUCAUCUUUCGACAAAAUAUUAACUUGUAAGUGAUAUCAUGGUGUAGUAAUCAAACACUGAUGAUAAGAACAUGUCAAACAAUAAAUCUUCCUUUGGACCGAUUUAUUACUCACAUGUAAAAUUGAAUAAUCAUCACGUGUUCAUUACCAUAGGUGCACAUGCAACUCUAUCAAACAUGGACCUUCCUUUGGGCUGAUCGGUAUUUACAAAAUUACAUGUACAAAACUUUUUAUAUUCCAAAAUAAAUUAAUUUCCACAAAAGAGGUCACUUUGGCGACAUGUUGCUUCAUUUAAUUUAUCUUAAAACACAUAUAAACCUAUCAAUAUUUGAAUUUAAAAUUGCAGAAAAAUUACUCAAAAAUUAAAAAAUUCAGGUCAAAGUCAAAUUUUGACCGAUCAACGGUCAAUCAUUGACUGGUCAAACUUUGACCUGUUCAAACCAUUGACCGGUUUUAAAAUAGACUGGUUCGGGUUGAACAGAACUGGACCAGACCGGCCCCAAAUUAAAAAAGCCUAAUUUUAUUCUUUAAUUCUUUGAGCGGCGGCCUCAACCUCAGUCGCCGCUGCCUCUCCUUCGUCGCGGCGUGAAGGCGCCAGCCAAAACCUUGAAACAUUUUUUUUCUUCGGUUUCCUUUCCCUUUUAUGUUGCAAUUGUGGCUGUUGCUUUUCUUCUCCCUCAUGCCGCGACUCUCUUCCUCUUCAGCGCGGCAGUGCGCUGCAUCAGCGAAAAUCGCGCACCAGCAAUGUGAGUCACGUUGCCAACCGCGCAAAUUGUGUACAACACGCCAUAGCCCAGCCACGCAUGGUGCUGUGCUUUGCUGCCAUGCAACCCAACAACCGCAUGAUGGCCAUCAAAUCUCAGUCGCGUUUGAUACCUUAGCCAUGAACCUUAACGACAAUGGCAACCGUCCACCUCAAAACUUUGAGCCUUUAGGAAACCGAAUUUCAGAAUAUUUAUUUUUGUUAAUUCCAAAUUUAUUUAAUUUUGUUCUCAAAUUUAAUGAUUUAAGGACACCAAAAUGUUUAAUCCUUAAUCAAAAUUAUAAUUGAUUCUCAAUGAUUCAACAUGAAGAGAUUCUGAUACCACUUGUUGGAACAAGAAAAACAUUUGGUGAAAACCAUCACCUAUACCUAGAAAUAUUCAUGUUCUAUCACCAAGAAUUAAUAGUAAAAUUAUGCAGAAGUGUACAUGAAUUCAUAACGCUGAAUUGCUCUUUAGGGUUGUGUGGUUGACCUUCCAUAUCUACACAUUCUCCUAGAGAAUCUUUUAAGUUUUCUCAGGGCUCUCUCCAACGAUGGGAUUUCAGAAAGAAUAGAAAGAUACGUGUGACCUAGGGACCAUAACUACUUAUAUAGACAAUAUUUUCCUGUUGUCAUUGGAUAUUCUUAAUUUUGCCCAUUAUAGAAUUAGAAUAUUAUCGAGUCUCUACACAUUAAGUCUUACACCGUAUUAGAUACAUUAAAGCCUAUAAUAUCAAAAAUCUAAAUGGAUAACUUUUAAUUUGGUUUAACCUUAUAUGACAGUCUGUAACACAUAAUCAUUCACAUAUAAGCCCAACGUUAGAUUAAGGAUCUAAUAAUAUUGGAUUAAAAAUCUAAUAAUUUUCUGUAGGAAGAAAUUUUGAGUGUAAGGAAUAAGAAGAGAGUAAGAAUGAUAGGAUUUGAUGCAUUCAUUAAGGGUAUUCUGUCAAGUGGUAGACGUGGGUGCAAAGUGAGACCCACUAGCUUUUUUAAUAAUAAAUUGAAUAAGUCACAAUAUAUGACCUAUGAUUUUUUUAGACAAGCGAAAGGCAAAACUUGCUUUAGUGGCUGGCCACAUUUUAUCUUGCUAAUAUCUACAAUAUUUAUUUUUGCAGUCUCCGAGACUGCGACUAUCCUCAAGCUCAGUUAUAAUCUUACCGAAUUUGUGUACCCAUUUUAUCUUCCACGUGGUUGGCAUUCACUACUUCGUUUGUCUUCUUAUGUACAAUUAUUUACUUAAUUGGGUUAUUUAAUUUGUAUUCUAACUAAUAUGGUAAAUGAUAUGUCAAUUAUUAAUUUUUAUCAUUUUUAAUUUAAAUAAUAAAUUUUAUUUGUGACACAUCAAUUAGAAUACAACUAAAUAUGCUGACUAAGUAAUCAUAGCAUCAUUCUUUAAAUUAUUUCCCUUGAACAAAGUCUCAUCAUAAACAAUUUAAACUUUACAAACUUUAAGUUGAUUUUAUCAUUUCUGUUGGUUCAAAUUUCAUAUAAAUUGUAUUAUUAAAUGCGUUAGUGUCAUGAUAAUGCCCACUAAUUUAUGCUACAUAGUGCUUUAAAAAUCGAUUCCAAAAUAUGAAUUAAUCUUUGAUCACAGGCCGUUUCAUAUCUAAAAUUUCAAAUUUCAACUUUUAUAUUAAAAAUAAUAGUGUCUAAUAUUUUGUCAUGGUAAGCAAGUUCAAAGUUAAUUCAAUGAGUUUUGAUUAGCCAAUAAAACAAUGAGUUCUACUGUUCAAUAAGCCAAGUUCGAAGUAAAUUCAAUCCUAGUCAUAGAAGAAUUGAAGUAACAUGUAUCAUAAUCUGUUUCAUAUUUUUUAAAAAAUUAAAUUAUAAGAGGAUCUUGAACAAUUUGAUUAUGCUAUGAAAUAUAGUCUUCUGCUUUUCAGAAAUCACUUUGGCGUUUUUGUCUGCCCUUAAUUGCUAAUGCCCAGGCUCUUACUGAAAUUGAAAUCUUGCAAGUGAAGUCACCCUUGGUGUUGAAAAUGAGUGGUAAAAAAUUAUUUGAAAAUUGUAGCUAAAUAUAUAGUUAAGCUUAAUCUAGUUAUUUUUAAAAUAGAUAUAGUUAUUAUUCCUGUGGUGAAACUGUCUUCCAUGUGCAGGAUACAUCCUUCUGUAUAGGGAAGAGUUAAUAUUCCUUUCUAAUCGCGAUUUGCUCUCAAAAUAAGACUCCUUGUGUACUAAGUAAUCUCCCUAAAAUAAAAUAUAUAAAUCCUAAUUUUAGCAAAUACUAAAUCACAAACUUAAAUGGUCUUUUAAUUGUAGGUAAAAAGUUUGAAAAAAAAUGAAGUAUGCAUAAAACUCAAAAUUGGAUCUAAUUUUAUUAAUAUAUCAUAUAUGUGUCGAGUAAUAUAAGAACUUAUUUAAUUUUGUUUUUGCUUGAUCCAUAUCAAGACAAAUAAUAAUAAUUGUGCUUAAUUAACAUGUGUAAUAAAUACAUAUUACUAUAGAAAAUGAGACAAAAGUAUAAAAAUGUCCUAAAAUAAAUAUAAACUUUAUGGUUAAACUAAUUCAAUAAAACUUAUUCCACUUCGUUUCAGUAUACUUUUUUUUUAAUUAAUGAGUACUUUUUUUGGUUUAAUUAAAGAAAAUAUUUUUAUUAAAUGAAUAAAAUAUUUUUCACUAAAAUUCUAUAGAAACAAUUUAAAUUUUUUAUAAUUAAUAAUCUUGUAUAAAUUUACUAGUUUUACUUUACAUUUAUUAGUUUUACGUGUAAUUUACAAUAUUUAUAUCUAUCACGGUAUUGAUGCCAUAAUUUUCAUUACAGCAUAAUAGAAUUUUCCUUAAUUAAUAUAGAAUUUGGAUCUUCUCUUUGUAGGAGAUUUGGACAACUGGAUAUAAAGAAUUAUAAGAUAAGAUUCAAUUUAUUUACACCAUUCUUAAAGUUGAUGGUUAACUAAUUAAAACCUAACAUUUUCACUAUCUAAACGCCAAAACCUAACCUCUUUAACUAAUUAAAAUUGAAAACUAACGGAAGUUUAAACUUAUUUCUUAGCUUCCAAGUUCAUCACUUCUCAAACUGUAAUGAUAAACUGCACUUCAUCUUUAUGCAAUUGUCAAUUAAAUUUCAGUAGUAAAUCAUCUUCUUCACGCAAAUUUCAAUUAAAUUUUAGUAAUAAAUCAUAUCUUAUUGACAUGAGAAUAUUUCAAGAAGCGCAAAAUUCUGGACGAAUAGAUUUUUAUUCUUAUUCUUAGAAAAGUAAAAAUUAGCCUGUUCGAUUAUUGUUCUUAUUCUUAUAAAAGAAAAAAAAAAUGAUCCGGCGAGCUAGCUAAUUAUUCUAACCACCUAUGGGACAACUAUCGAUAUCUAUUAAUGCAAAAAUCUGGCCGAAUAAAUUAUUAUUCUUAUUCUUAGAAAAGAAAAAAUUAGCUUAUUAUUCUUAUUCUUAUAAAAAGAUAAAAAUUGAUGGCCAGUUAGCUAAUUAUUCUUAUUCUUCUGUUCUUUUUUAUUUGAAUUGAUUCUCCCUUUUCCAUUCCUAUUUAACUAUGAAAUUAAUUACUAAUUUAUCUACCGCAAUUUUUCUGUACAACUAAUAGGAACGUGAUUCUUUCUCCGAAUCGGACUCACGAUCCUUUUGAUUUAUUAUAUACAGUGCACUCACCUUCAAUCCAUAUAUAGGCAGACAUAUAUGGGCAUGUUUGGUUGGAGGAUUAAAAUUGGGGAUUGGACUCUGUUUUUAAAAUUUUAUCUUUAUCUCAUGUUUGGUGCUAUCAAGGGUAUUGGAAUUUAGUUAUCUUGGACUCACAAGCUAAUCUUAAUUUUGUAAAGGAAAUUAUCCUGGGGGAUCAUGGAUAAAUUAUUGAUUAAAAAUAAUAUAAAUAUCAUAUACAUAUUUAACAAAAUAAAAAUUAUUUAAAUUAUGAUUUAUAUUUCAUUAAUGUCAUUGAGGUUGAUUUGUAUAAUUAAUAAUACAAAAUUUUAGUCUAUAAUAAUAUUAAUAAUAAUAAUAACUUGUAAAUUGUAAUAUUAUAAUAUAAAGGGAUAUUAUCAUUUUCCCACCAAAGGUAUUCUGACACAUCAUGUCAGUACUACGGUUUGGUAAAACCAUCAGUUUACCACCAAACGUUUAAACUGUUAGCAUUUUCUCACCAUUCCGUUAAAACUCAGUUAAAUGUAAUAGAAAAUUCAUAAAAGGUCAAUUUUACCCCUGGAGCGUAAAAGACGAUUUUGCCAUUUAAGAAGGAAGAACAACAAAUGAUGAUUUAAUUACAAAAUUCAUAAAAGGUUAAUUACAUGAUCUUUUAAAAGGUUAAUUUUACAAAAUUCAUAAAGAGUAAUUUUUGCCCUUUAAGAAGGAAUAACAGCAAAUGACCUUUUACAUGGUCUUUUACGCUCCAGGGGUAAAAUUGACCUUUUAUGAAUUUUCCGUUACAUAUUAACUGAGUUUUAACGGAAUGGUGGGAAAAUGCUAACAGUUUAAACGUUUGGUGGUAAACUGAUGGUUUUACCAAACCGUGGUACUGACAUUAUGUGUCAGAAUACCUUUGGUGAGAAAAUGAUAAUAUCCCUAAUAUAAAACAUGAUUAUUUAUAGUCCAAUCUAAUAUUGCACUAAACACAACAUAGUAUUAUAUAUAAUCCAGUAUUAUCUAAUUUAAUCCAAUUUUAUCCAAUCCAAUCCAAUCCGGCAUACCAAACGAGCCCAUAUAUUACAUCAAAUAAAUUAUUUAUGGAAAAAUUCACUUUAAAAUUAGAGAAUUAUCUUUAACUAAAUCUUAGUGGGCCUAAAUUCGAGUAAGAUUUAAUGAUAUAUAAUUCAAAAUUAUUGAGAUCCGACAUUUUAAACAAGAAAAUAAAUAAAAAGUUUUUGUUCUCUUUUUCAAAUAAUAAAUUUCAUUUUGAUGGCUUUUUAAUAUUAAAUUAGACAUUUGGUAAAUUGGAUCAAAUAUAUUAGAUCUUAGACCUUGUUUUUAAUGGAUUUAAUUAGAUUUCGAGCAUUUAAAUUAUGCAAUUGGACAAAUAACUAAUAAAUAGAUAAGUUUUUUUGUUAUUGUAAAAUAAAUUUGAACUUGAAUUUGAUGCAUUUAAUUAAUCCAAUGAGGCAAAUUUAUGAUUUCAACUUUUAAAUAAAACAUAUCCUUUGGAUUUUUUGGAUAAACCAGAGGCAACUUUUCCGUAUUUAUUUUUGCAAUCUGCGAGACUGCGACUAGGAUACAUCCUGAAGCUCCGUUUUAAUCUUACCUAAACUGUGCGCCCAUUUUAUCUCCCACGUUAUGGGCAUUACUACUUUGUCUUCUUAUGCACAAUUAUUUAUUCUCUGGACCACGUUUGGAAUAUGCACUUCAACCGUAGUUAAUCUCACGUAAAAGAUAAAAAUUCAGCCGUCGAUCUCUAAUCUAUGCCAACCUUGAAUUAUUAUUUGCUUUGGCCUGGAAAUUAUAUUAUUCUUUUUGGGGUAUCAGGGAAAUUGUUAUUAAAUAAUAAUUAAACAAGGAAAAUCUGUCUCUUUCCAUGGUUGUAUCAUUUUAUUAAUUGUUUCAUUUAUGCAUGCCUGCGUUAUUAACAUCUGUUACGAAUUGGAAAUUGAUCUUAACUAAUUUGAUGUGUUUCUCAUUUGAAUUAUUUGGAGACAUGCAUAAUGCAUGUCAAGUUUUUUAAUAGGACAUUAGUGACUUUAUUUCUUUUAUUGGCUCAAUUGAUCAAGUCUAGCAAAUUCGAUUAUUUAAAAUAAUUAUAAUAAUAGUCCAUUUAUAAUUUAUCAUACAAAUUUUCUUAUACAAUCAAACAAAUUUGAUUAUUAUUAUUCUGAUGAUAAGAUCUUUGUUUGGGAGAAAUACGUCGACGAGACCAGGCAUGGUGAGCAGAUAUAUGAUGGCAGAGUUCUGCGAACCGGUGUGUUCCUUAAAAGCCUGGUGCGCGGGGGAACAGGAGCAGAAAUAUCCUGCUCGUCCACGAGCACGUCAUCCGCGAGGCCAAUUUCCUGUAAGAGGCAUAAGGCCAUUCCGGCUAGAGGUCGAGAGGCGAGGAGACCCGGUCGACGGCAGUUGGCAAGACAUGCUCUCCAGCCCGAGAAUCUAGGCACGACAGCCACGCUUUCCCCAGAACCGUGGCGUAACACGCAAGAUCCCACGUUUGCCCAUAAUGCAGCAGUCAGAGUCCCGUACCGUCUCGAAAAAAGUAGAAAACUGGGAUUCAGAGGAAGCCUAUAAAAAGGUAGCCAACGAAGGUAAAAGGGUUAGCAUUUUUGAGAUUAAAAAAGAAAAUUCAAAAGAAGAGAAAACGACGAAAAAGCCAUAAGAUCUGUGGCAAGCGUUCCCCGAACCUUCAUAUCUGACUUGAGCGUCGGAGGGUUUGCGCCGGGAAAAUAACCGGCGUACUCUGACUUGUCUGUGUGCGCAGGAACCUCUGGAGAAGAAGCCUUGCGAGGAGACCUCCUGGUCGUGAUGAAGUUGAUCGAGCAGAGAUCCUAGUCGUAGAACGAGGAGAACCGGAAUCCCGCAUCAACAAUCUUAAUAAAAUUGGAAUAGACAAAUUUUCAUUGUUGUCUCACACUUACGUCAAACAAAGAAAAAAUAUCGUAAGACUAUAAACAAAUUAAGAACCAUUGUCAAACAUGACAAUCCAAAUAUUUAAACUAUUAAAAUUUCAUCACUUUGAAUUUAAGCUUUUUUUUUAUUUUCCCCUUUUAUAUGUUAGAAAAUAAACUUUUGACGGAAUGAUUUUCUUUUUAAUAACAAAAUUGAAAUUGGUAAUUGGAAAUUUUCAUUUCCAAAACCAUCUUUCACUAGCUAUGUCCAAGACGAAACCGACUAAAAGAAACUUUGUAAUUUCCAAAAUUAUUGUAGCAAUGAGAUGCGAAAGAAAAGUCUGCACGUGUUAAUUGCGACAGUUUUCCCUUGUAAUUAGUGUAAUUGAACUGUAGCCGGUUAUUCUUGAUCUACUUAUCCAACAGCAUACCUUUUUUUUCUUUUGGGAAUCAAGAGGCAUACUUGAAUCACCUAUAUAUAUUACAUCAAAUUAUCAAACCGGAAGCAAGAAAUCGCAAAAGCAACUUAAUUACUUUUGAGCUUUCUUCCCCGUAAGCAGAGAUCUUUCUGUGUGAACAUGGAAACUACCUGUGCAGGUUUACAGGCCAACUUCAUUUCAGUUUAUUUCAUUUAUAAUUCUUAUUUUAGUAUAUGCAUUUAUAAAUAUAUUUUCUAAUAUGAAUUUUUCAGGUAAUAAGUGGUCGGAGACUGUGAACGUCCAGCCGUGGCACAGUAUUGCUGAUGAUGAUAUGGUGAAUGACAACCUUGAUCUUCUUGUUGUCCCUCAAUAUGGGAGAAACCCCGACCGUAUGGGUUAAGUGUAGUGAUAUUUUUUAAUGUUAUGUUUAAUUAAAUAAAUGAUAGGUAUAUUGUUACCUAUCAAUCAUGUUAGUAUCUUAGUUCGGUUCAAUUCAGCUUAUAAGAUCUCUUCAUAUGUAAAAGAGGUUUUCUUUAUUUACAAAAUGAUUUCCUUAAAAGGAAAAUAAAUAAAUAAAAGUUACUGUGUGUGUCAACAUAUUGGUUAUGUUAGUUUAUACAUAUCGGUUUAAUUACGCUUUCUCUUCCUAAAUAUUGUUCUGAAAUAAAUUCACACAUUUGUUGUGUAAAAAGACAAUAUACCUUUCAAUUAUAUGAAAGGUUACAUUUUAUUCAUUUACCGACAAUAUCCUCUUGAUCCACCAUAAAGGAUAUUGUAGCCCCAAGAUGGUAAAAAAAUUGUACUAUUUUGUAACCGGAACAAUCAUUUCUUCUACCUCUACGACAUCCUGUAAUGUUAUUUGCAGCUUCGCAAGGCACAAAAACAUCAUCAAAUAAGCAGUUGUUUUCUGAAAAAAUAAAGAAAAUGGAAAAAGAAUUAGAAAAAGCUGCACUAUUUUAAUUGCCAUCUGGUAUAUGAUCACUUCCCAUUGGAUUUGGAGGCCGGGUAAUCUUGUUAUUUGCACUCCUAGAAUCUGCUUCCAUGCUACUUGUAUGGUUCCGUCUUUUAAGUCUAGUAGUAUUUUGUUUGGAACCCCACUGUAAUAUUUUCAUCAAGAAAAUUGAGGACUUAAUUUUUGGUGUUUUUAUCCGAUUAAAUUACAUUUAAUUAUUAAUAUUCGUUGACUGAAAUCUGAAGGGUGUUUGAUUCGGAUAUGAAUCCUCUCUUAAUCUAUUUUUUUUCUGAAUUUUGUAAGAUAUUAUGCCACGUCAUUUAAAUUUUUUUAUAGUUAGGAUUUAAUUUACAUUGAGCUUUCCGUAUUACACACCAAAUCCCAUAACUUUUUUCUUAUCUCUUAAUGGUGCUUCUUCUGAUCUUCUUCUCCCUCUCCCUCUCUCUCUCACGUUUUUUCUUAUCUCUCAAAGGCCUAAAACUUUGACAAGCAAAUUUGAGCAAGAAAGAAUAUCAGAACGGAAAGGAUUCAAAAUAUUAAAAAAUUCGGAUAAUUUAAUUCUCUUGCGAUUCAUGAAUUUUGUUUUUCUGAUGCGAUUCCACUUUCUCAGAGUGCCAAGAAAUAGCAAUUCAAACCUUUUUUUUUUAAUGCCAUCAAAUGAAUUAAAAGUUACAUAUGCAGCAAUACCCAAUCGAAAAUAAGUUAAUUUUUUUUUUUUUGAAAAGUUCUUAAUUUUAGGCUAGAAUUAAAUCCAUUCUUGUUGUUUUUACGUAUCUGCAAUUUAACUUAUGCUGUUAGUUUGCAAAUUAUUUUGCAUGCAUAAAUAAUCGUUUCUUUUUCUUAUUCUUGAUUCAAUUUUGGUCCCUAGAAUAAUAUUGAUAUCGCAGAUCAAUUAUCAAAGUUUGUUUGGGUGAACAAGAAAUAUGAGAAAGAGGAGAAUUUUUGUUUCCCAAACAUUGGUUAUUUAAUUGUCUGUUGGUUUUAGAAUUUUGAUUAGCCAAUAACACAAUGAGUUUUAUUGCUCAACAAGGCAAGUGCAAAGUAAAUUCAAUCCCAGUCAUGGAAAAAUUUAAGUAACAAAUAUCAUAAUAUUUUUCAUAUCUUUUGAAAAAUUAAAUUAUAAGACGAUCUUGAACAAUUUGAUUAUGCUAUGAGAUAUAGUCUUCUGUUUUUUUUUUUUUUUAGGGAAAAAAUGAGGAAGUUAGAAACAUAUUUCUUAAUUUUUUCAGAAAUCACUUUGUUGUUUUUGUCUGCCCUCAAUUGCUAUCUCCUAAGUGAAGUCACCCGUGGUGUCGAAAACGACUGGUAAAAAAUACUUUGAAAAUUAUAGCUAAAUAUAUAGUUAAGCUUAAUCUAGUUUAUUUUAAAAAUAGAGUUAUUAUUCCUACGGUGAAACUGCCUUCCAUGUGUAGGAUACAUCCUAUUUAUAGGGAAGAAUUAUGCUACCAUAAUUCCUCAGGCAGUCUCCCUGACAUAAACGACAUAAAUCCUAAUUUUAGCAAAAUAAGUAAAUCACCAAGUCUUCUAAUUAAUGUAGACUACAAUUUGAGAACUACAACUCCAUAAGGACGCAAAUCUGAAACUGUUGCAAAAUGCCAAUUUAAAUCUCAAUAAUCUGUCAUCAUGAACAUAUUAGCUGUUACCAAUAAUCAUGAACUAUUGACGACAGACUUUAUAUACGUUUUUCAGUUUCUAUCUACUUUUUAUCCACAAUUUUCUAGUUAAUGAUCGUGAUCAGCGAGCCAUGGGAUCCAAUGAUACCCGCGUAGUUCGCACAAUUAAUUAAUAUAGAAUUUGGAUCUUCUCUUUGUAUAGGAGAUUUGGACAAUUGCAUUCAAAGAAUUAUAAGGAUAGGAUUUAAUUUAUUUUCAAUUUUGCAAUUUAAACUCCAAAACCUAACGUUUUUAGAUUAAGGUGCCGUUUAUUUUUUUAUCUAAAAUCUGAAUAGACCUGAAUUAGUCUGGAUUCUUAAUAGAGCUGAAUGUCUGAAUGUAAAUGACAUUUUUUUUGUAUGAAUAGCUAAAAAUAAAUAUUAAGUUGUUUGCUUUUUUAACUUAAAAAAUCUGAUUAUGCCCUUACAAAUUAUAAUGUUAAACAAAUAAUAAAUAUCUCAAAGAAUAUAAAUAAUGUAAUAAAUUAUCAUAACAUAAAUCAUAUUCAAUUGAGUAUAACUUUUUAAUAUUUUAUAUUAUAUAUGUUAAUUAAUUUUAUUAUAGUUUGUGAUGUUUUUAUAUGAAAAAUAUUCACAAAAAAUUAUGAAGAUAAAUAAUGCUAAUUUGAACAAAAUUAAAAGAUAAAAAUAAUAAUAAUCUACCACUAUAUAUUAUCAAAAGUUAUAUACAGAUGGGUGAUAAUGUUAAUUAUUAAAUUUUAUUUAGUUAAGAAUGAAAAUUAAUUAAUUAGAUAGGAAUAUUUUGAAAAAUAUCUUUUAAUGAUAGUAUUCAAACUUUUUAGAUUAAAUAAAAAACUAAAAAGAUUAGCUUAAUAACUUAAUGACUUAAUUGCUGAAAAUCUUGAUUAAGUUGAAAAAAACAAACAGAAUUAAUGACUUAACUAAUUAAAAUUAAGUCAAUUAAGUCAUUAAAUCAAAAAACAAAUAGCCCCUAAUUAAAAUUGAAAAUUAACCGAAGUUUAAACUUAUCUCUUAGCUUCGAAGUUUAUCACUUCUCAAACUCUAAUGAUAAAGAUAAACUGCACUUCAUCUUUACGCAAUUGUUAAUUAAAUUCAGUAGUAAAUUAUCUUCUUCACGCAAACGUCAAUUAAAUUUUAGUAAUAAAUAAUAUCAAAUAGAAUUGUCAACAUGAGAAUAUUUCAAGGAAUGCAAAAAUCUGGCCAAAUGGAUUAUUAUUCUUAUUCUUAGAAAACAAAAAUUAGCCAGUUCGAUUAUUGUUCUUGUUCUCAUUAAAAAAAUAUAUAUAUAUGAGCUGGCCAGUUAGCUAAUGAUUCUUAUUCUUCUAUUCUUUUUUAUUUGAAUUGAUUCCAUCUUUUCCAUUCUUUUUUUAACUAUGAAAUUAAUUACUCAUUUAUCUACAGUUGUUUCUGUAAAACUACUAGGAACGUGAUUUAUUGCGGAAUGAGACUGAAGAUCGAUCUUUUUGAUUCAUUAUCUACGGUGCGCUGACCCUCAAUCUAUAUAUAGGCAGACGCAUAUAUUAUAUCAAAUAGGUUAUUGAUGGAAAUUUCACUUUUAAAAUAGAGAAUUAUCCUUAACUAAAUCUUAGUGGCCUAAAUUUGAGAAAGAUUUAAUGAUAUAUAAAUAAAAUUACUGAAAUUGGACAUUUUAAACAAGAAAAUAAAAAAAUUAUUCUUUUUCAAAUAAUAAAUUUUAUUUUGAUGGAUUUUUAAUAUUAAAUUAUCCAUUUACUAAAUGGGAUCAAAUAUAAAAGAUGUUAGACUUUGUUUUUAACGGAGUUAAUUAGGUUUUGGGCAUUUAAAUUAUGCAAUUGGAGAUAUAAUUCAUAAAUAGAUAGGAUUGUGUGUGAUUUUAAAAUAAAUUUGAACUUGAAUUUGAUGCAUUUAAUUAAUCCAAAGAAGCAAAUUUAUAAUUUCAACUUUUAAAUAAAACAUAUGCUUUGGAUUUUUUACGUAAACCAAAGGCAACUCUACCAUAUUAUAUUAAGAUGGGACCUUGAUUUUAGGGGUAAGCCUAGGCAGUCGCCUAAAGUGUAGAGCUUCUAACACCCCUUUUAAACUCUUAAGAAACCCUAAUUUUCAUUCUUUUCAAUCUCUUUCUUUUAUAAAAUUACAUAAAAGGACAUAAAAUUUUAAUUGAGUUUCCGUAUCAUUUAGAAUACAUUUUGUAAACAUACUUGUCAUAAUAAAACUGUUGUUAAUAAAUAAUUCAUUUCUUCAUUAUUUUUUAUUUUGUCAACAAAAUUAAUUAUAUCACAUAAUAGGAUUCAAAAAUAGUUAAGAUUCAUGAUUUUUAAAGAUAUUUAGCUUAAUCAAAUUCAUGUAUGUUUGGUAAUGUGUUAAAGUAUUAAAAUUGAGAAGAUGCACAAAUUAAAAUUAGGUAUUUUUCUCACUUAUUAACUCAAAAUGGUAAAGAGAAUAAAAUUCUCUCUAUUAUUGAUUCAAUAUGGUUUAUAUUGUGCGGUGGAAGCGUCAUUUAUGGCCUGACACCACUGGUGUGCAAAUAUAGAAUCAAUACGCACCAAAUAUGUACAGAAAAAAUAAAGGACAUAAGAAUUUCAUAUGGUUCAGCAAUAAAGCCUACGUCCAUAGAGGUAAGAGAGAAUAAUUAUUCUGCUAACAAUUAACAGAGUACAAAUUUGACUAAUAAAACCUCACUUCCCGAAUACCUAAAUAUACCUAAUACUCUCACACACUCUUGAAGGAAACAAUUUCUUUAAAACACACAUUCUCUCAUAUCUCUACAAAUAGUGCAUAACCCAACUGAAUACCCAAAGAAAUGCUCUCCCAACUUUCUAAGAGCUCAUUCGCAGAUGCUCCCUUUCGAUCUUUGGAAACUCUCAUUGAGAUCUCUCUUUGCACUGUCUCAAAGGACUCUUCACAUAAGCUCUCUAUAUUUCGUGGGAUACUCACACCAAGGGAAAUGAUUGGUAUUAAUAGGAGAGUUUCAUCAUGCAUGCAUUUUAUUAUUGCACUCAAAAGUCUUAGAAAUCAUCUACCAAUUUCUGCAUUUUUGAAAAAUUCAUGAUACGGCUCCAACUCCUCCAAAUUGUCAAUUUUUUAUGGCCACUGAAUUGAAAAGCAAGCCAUGUGUUUUCAUUGGACUUUUCAACAAUCUCCACCUUGGCGAAGAUUUGUCCAAAUUUAAGUUGACUACCAAUGAACCAUCAUCCCUAAAGUGAUCUUCCCUUAUGUAUCCAAAACGGUUGUAUUGAUUCAACUGCCUACGUUCCACCUACUACGAUCAAGUCAACCGUAGUUCAUAAUUUUUUAAGAGAAUGCCUUCACAAAUUAUACUAUAUUUAUGUAGAGAAUCCUUAUCAUUGCAGGCUAGUGAAUUGUACCUGGAUCUACUAAACAUGCUCAUUGCUUGAGAUAUAUUGUGCAUUCUAUUCACCAUCACAUCCAUAAGACUACCCAUAACAUAAGCUUACAAAACAUGAGCCAUGUACUCGUGCUUUACUUAAGGAGAAUGACAUGAACAAGAGCUUAGGAGACAUAGGAAAACCUUUCUUGCAACUUCUUCAAAAUAUGAGUCAACUACAUGCUCAUAUUCUUUCUGUCUUUAUGAAAUCUCCAACGUAAGUACUCUCUGUCCAUCACUCAAAACUUUCAUCUUGAACUCAGAAACCAUUAGUUUCUUCAGUUUCAUCUCUAUUCUUCGAAGUUACAAGUCUUUCAUUGACAUAGAGUACCAAAUGGAUGAAAGCUCCAUCUUGUAUUUUUCUAAAGUAAAAAUAGUGAUCGUGUUCAAGUCUAGUGAUUUUGCCCUUAUAAGAAUCGAUCAAAUCCCAUGUACAUUUGUUUCUCGAUUAUUUGAGUCUGUACAAAGAUCAAACCAUCCUACACAUUAUUCUCCUUUCAGCAACUUUGAAACUAGAAGACUGAGUCAUUUAGAUCUCAUCUUCCAAGUCCCCAUGUAAGGACAUCAUCUUAGCAUUCGAUUGAGCUAACUCUAACUUAUACUCCAGAACUAAGUCAAGUCAGAUACAAAAGGAAGUAUUUUUCGUAACUGGAGAAAAAAAACCUUCCUUAUAAGCAAAUCUUUUUGUCAUGACUCUUGCUUUAUAUCAAAGGGUUGCUUGUUUUAGAGAUCUUUAUUUCUUAGUGCAACCACUUUUAUUGCCACUAGCCCUCAAUGGCCUAGGUAACUUUACAAGUUUCCAAGUUUGAUUUUGAUGAAUAGACUUCACUUCUUCCUUUAUGGAUAACUUAUAUUGAUCACUUUCAUUGUUGUGUACUAUUUCACUGAAAAUGUUAAGGAUGUCAUUAUUAGCACCUGAAAGUGCAAAGGUUACUACCAUAUAAGCCAUCCAGGUUUCUGUUCUUAGUCUCCUUGUUGUUAUCAUAUUUAUCUACAUCAUUAAUUGUUUCUUCUUCUUGUGAGACAUCAAUAGAAUAAUUUCUUUUUCAACUCUUAGAGUAAGACCCGAAGUUAAACUCUUCUCUAAUAUGGAACCAUCUGGUCAUAUGGAGUUGCAUUAAACUCCACCAACUACAAUAUCUCGUCAGUCUUGUUAUCCACCUAUUGAGAACUAGAAGUUUUCUACAUUAAAGCUUCAUCAAAACUGACAUCACUGCGAUACACAAACUUUUUAUCUUCGAGAUCUCAAAACUCUACCUUUGAAUCCUGCAAAGAUAACAUACAAAGAGAAUCAUAGUCUUUUGCAUCUUUUCAGACCACUUCUCCAAAAAUGUCUUACCUCUAAUUGCAGCAGAUUACAAAUCUUUUUUUCUAAGUGACUUGUGUAGCUUACAAAAUCUAUCUAAAACCUCUUAUUUAAACCAGCACUAGAUAAGAUACAUCGUACAUUCUCCAAUAAAGUAUGGUCUAUACGCCCAGGUACAUCUUAUUACGAAACGUCAUUUUAGACUCUCAUUUUGGCAUAUUUGCAAAAAUGGUUCACAAGUCUAUCAUUUCAUAUUAGUACGUAAUACUUUGAUCUUUCUGUUAGGUUGAGCCUCUACCAGUUUCUUCUAUUUCACAAACAUCUCUAGAAUCUCAUCAUAUGGUUAUAUGGUAUGCACGUAUAUACAUCUAGAGAAAUAAAUAAAACUCAUUGGUAGUAGUCUUGGUUGGUUCUCAUACAUCACUGUGAACAUUCAAAGAUCUCAUAAGUAUCGUGAUUAGUCAUGCCAAGCUUGACCAUUGUUUUCUUACAUACCAAAUAAUGCUCACAUGCCUUCAUUUUUACAAAUUUAGACACUUUUCAAAAGUCCAUGCCUCAUCUUAAUUUGCAAAGACUUUUCUCAUGCAUGUCCCUAAUCAUACAUGUUAUAGCUUGAUGGUGUCAUUGUGCACCAACAAAAAAAUAUU